GACCGGGAUGGACAUACCUCUGGUGUACCAGUUGUCGUGCCAACGGCAUAGCUGGGUAGCUAUGUAUGGACGGGAUAAGUGCUGAAAGCAUCUAAGCAUGAAGCCCCCCUCAAGAUGAGAUUUCCCAACUUCGGUUAUAAGAUCCCUCAAAGAUGAUGAGGUUAAUAGGUUCGAGGUGGAAGCGUAGCGAUACGUGGAGCUGACGAAUACUAAUCGAUCGAAGACUUAAUCAAUUU
This 236-nucleotide ribosomal RNA is filed under the name Staphylococcus agnetis. RNAcentral describes it as "partial 23S ribosomal RNA". It matches the Rfam family "Bacterial large subunit ribosomal RNA", at positions 2690 to 2925 of the family's 2925-position model. The record is from RNAcentral. Lineage: Bacteria; Bacillati; Bacillota; Bacilli; Caryophanales; Staphylococcaceae.